AGGACGAACGCUUGCGGCGUGCCUAAGAAAUGCAAGUCGAGCGGAGUUUAAGAUUUCGGUUUUAAACUUAGCGGCGAACGGUCGCGUAACACGUAGGCAACCUGCCCCGAAGACUGGGAUAGCCCACCGAAAGGUGGAUUAAUACCGGAUGUGAACAACGAUUGGCAUCUUUUGUUGUUUAAACGAUUCAAACGGCUUUGGGAUGGGCCUGCGGUCUAUCAGCUAGUUGGUGAGGUAAUUGCUCACCAAGGCGACGACGGAUAGCUGGUCUGAGAGGAUGGUCAGCCGGACUGGGACUGAGAUACGGCCCAGACUCCUACGGGGGGCAGCAAUUAGGAAUCUUGCGCAAUGGGGGCAACCCUGACGCAGCGACGCCGCGUGUGUGAUGACGUCUUUCGGGAUGUAAAGCACUUUUAGCAGGGAAGAAGAAUGUGACGGUACCUGCUGAAUAACGCCCCGGCUAACUACGUGCCAGCAGCCGC
This 482-nucleotide ribosomal RNA is filed under the name uncultured bacterium. RNAcentral describes it as "SSU rRNA". It matches the Rfam family "Bacterial small subunit ribosomal RNA", at positions 26 to 518 of the family's 1533-position model. The record is from RNAcentral.